CGUCCUCCUCUUCCUGCCCUGGGAACUCAGGAGACUGGGAUCCUAGCUCGUUCCUGUCGGCACAUAAGCUCUCGGGCCUCUGGAAUUCCCCACAUUGCAGUGGGGCCAUGCCAGGCAGCUCUCUUGGGAGUCCUCCUACCAUCCCCGGUGAGGCUUUCCCUGUCUCGGAGCACCACCAGCACUCAGACCUCACUGCUCCCCCUAACAGCCCCACCGGCCACCACCCCCAGCCAGCAUCUCUAAUCCCGUCUCACCCCAGCUCCUUUGGCUCCCCGCCCCACCCACACCUGCUGCCCACCACCCCGGCAGCGCCUUUCCCUGCCCAGGCUUCAGAAUGCCCUGUUGCUGCUGCCACCGCCCCCCACACUCCAGGGCCAUGUCAGAGCUCCCAUCUACCCUCCACCAGCAUGCCACUCCUGAAGAUGCCCCCACCAUUCUCGGGGUGCAGCCACCCCUGCAGCGGGCACUGUGGUGGGCACUGCAGUGGGUCUCUCCUCCCACCCCCGAGCUCUCAGCCACUCCCUAGCACUCACAGGUAAGUGUGCUGCAUGAAGGGCAAACUCUCUACCCACUUGAACUUAGAAUUUUG
Molecule: small RNA, 589 nt
Filed under: Pongo abelii (Sumatran orangutan)
Lineage: Eukaryota; Metazoa; Chordata; Mammalia; Primates; Hominidae
Description: retained intron
Source: RNAcentral